UCUUAGUCUUGGCAAUUAACCAUAAAUCAGGAAAUAUUGACGAUGGAAGCAAUGGCGACGUGGCUGCUGACCAUUAUCAUCGAUACAAGGACGACAUAGAAAUGAUGCAUUCGAUUGGCCUCGGCUCCUACAGAUUCUCAUUGUCGUGGUCUAGAAUUCUUCCAAGUGAGCUCAUUCUCAGAAUUACACCAACUGUCAAUGACUUAUGGCUUAGCUCCCAACUCGACAACACGCACAUAAUCCUUCCUUAGUGCCGGCGUUUAGCUUAAAUUAUAUGCAUGUACCUUUCAAAUAUCCAUGGUCAGAGGGUCGCUUCGGAGGUGUUAAUCAGGCAGGCAUUAAAUUCUACAAUAGCCUCAUCAACGGACUGCU
This is a long non-coding RNA of Zea mays, 372 nucleotides long. RefSeq lists it as uncharacterized. NCBI's taxonomy places the organism in Eukaryota, Viridiplantae, Streptophyta, Magnoliopsida, Poales, Poaceae. The transcript is spliced from 2 exons. The record is from RefSeq and is a predicted model, not a curated record.